Molecule: long non-coding RNA, 884 nt
Filed under: Ananas comosus (pineapple)
Lineage: Eukaryota; Viridiplantae; Streptophyta; Magnoliopsida; Poales; Bromeliaceae
Description: long non-coding RNA (ACOM_LNC041241)
Source: RNAcentral
AGCCAAGAGAUUGAGGAAGCUAUGGCCAAGGAGGGGAUUUAUGAAGACUCCUGGUUGCAGUUGGGUCCAGCCUGCAUAAACUCUCACUGAUGUUCUCCAGCCAGCGAAAGCUCAUGAUACGUUAAUGAGGGAAAUCUUGAUUAUUUAUCAAGAUAAGCUAGAGUGAGCCUUGCUAAUUGCUGCUUAAAGUUGUGAUUACAGAAGUUAACCAGAUUUAGAUGCACUUUAUUUAUAUGCAAUUUAAUAGUCUGUCUCCCUCCGUUGUCGCUCAAGAACUCUUCUGUUUAACUAUUUGCUGUGAUUUAUGAUUACGUUUUGCCUUCUAUACCAGGGAUUUUAGCUGGUGCAAAUGCUUACUGACGAAGGCUUAGAUAUUUGACUACUUCGCCAUUGGCACGAACUGAGAUUCUUGGAUCUUCCUUCAUAAUCUUCUACAUGACAACGUGUUUCUGAAAAUGAUUCUGCAUUCGUUGGGUGAUCAAGUAAUGCUUCCAUAGAGGAAAAGCUAUUCUACUGUUUAUCGACAUGUGAUCAACUAAAGCUUCCAUCGAGGAAAAGGUAUGCUACUGUUUGUCAACAUGAAAAUUUUUAAACUUAGCACUGCUAGACUAGAUAUGGUAAAUUUCCAUUGUUAGCAGAUGUCGUACCAAAUGUGCUGACAGGCCCUGCCAUUUGCUUAUAGGUACUUUAGUUCGAAACCUUCUGGUUCCGCUGGUGGUAAUCCAAAACUGCAGUCCUAAACCAAUUGAAAACUGAAACUAAUUGAAACCAUAUAGGUUGUAUUCGAUUAUUUAUAGGUCAUUCAUGUUAUUUUGUUUUUCAUGCUUUGAUCUCUUUGACUGACACAGGAUGGAAGGUAGAUAAAAUCUUCAUAAGAGUUGUAU